UAGGGAAUCCUCCACAAUGGGCGAAAGCCUGAUGGAGCAACGCCGCGUGUGUGAUGAAGGGUUUCGGCUCGUAAAACACUGUUGUAAGAGAAGAAUGACAUUGAGAGUAACUGUUCAAUGUGUGACGGUAUCUUACCAGAAAGGAACGGCUAAAUACGUGCCCG
This 164-nucleotide ribosomal RNA is filed under the name uncultured bacterium. RNAcentral's name for it is "partial 16S rRNA". It matches the Rfam family "Bacterial small subunit ribosomal RNA", at positions 355 to 511 of the family's 1533-position model. The record is from RNAcentral.